RNAcentral lists this small RNA (593 nucleotides) under Pan troglodytes (chimpanzee). RNAcentral describes it as "retained intron". The record is from RNAcentral. Lineage: Eukaryota; Metazoa; Chordata; Mammalia; Primates; Hominidae.
CUUCAGUGUCCCCUCACCUGGACCUUUAAACACACCUGUGAACCCCAGCUCUGUCAUGAGCCCAGCUGGCUCCAGCCAGGCUGAGGAGCAGCAGUACCUGGACAAGCUGAAGCAGCUGUCGAAGUACAUCGAGCCCCUGCGCCGCAUGAUCAACAAGAUCGACAAGAACGAAGACAGAAAAAAGGACCUGAGUAAGAUGAAGAGCCUUCUGGACAUUCUGACAGACCCCUCGAAGCGGUGAGCUUUGCCCACAGCCCACGGAGGGUCCACAAGGGCACAGAUAGCCCAGCCAUGGAUGGGCACUUGGUGAUGAUGUGGGUUUAACAAAGGCACCAGGCAGCUCUUUGGACCCUGGCCAGAGGCCUCCAAGGCUCCACUCUGGUGUGUGCUGGGGCUUCAAGCCCAGGCUUCAUCUUGGCCCAUGCCCAGCCUUUGCCCUAUUCCUGGCUGCUGCUGUGGCCCUCAUGCUGGGCCAUCACAGCCAGACCUCAUCCAGCCAGCAGCCAGGGGCCCAGCUUGCAGUGGCCUGACCAUCAGCUGGCCCAGAUGGGCCUGAGCCUGACCUGGAGUUCUGCCCCUGACUUGCUGGUGAC